This 615-nucleotide ribosomal RNA is filed under the name uncultured ciliate. RNAcentral describes it as "SSU rRNA". It matches the Rfam family "Eukaryotic small subunit ribosomal RNA", at positions 320 to 1019 of the family's 1831-position model. The record is from RNAcentral. Lineage: Eukaryota; Ciliophora.
CUCGAUGGUAGUGUAUUGGACUACCAUGGCUUUCACGGGUAACGGAGAAUUAGGGUUCGAUUCCGGAGAAGGAGCCUGAGAAACGGCUACUACAUCUAAGGAAGGCAGCAGGCGCGUAAAUUACCCAAUCCUGACUCAGGGAGGUAGUGACAAGAUAUAACGACGCGAUUUUAAAUCGUGAUUGUAGUGAGGGUAUUCCAAACCGAACUUCGAGUACGAUUGGAGGGCAAGUCUGGUGCCAGCAGCCGCGGUAAUUCCAGCUCCAAUAGCGUAUAUUAAAGUUGUUGCAGUUAAAAAGCUCGUAGUUGGAUUUCAAGGUGGAGGUGAGGAAACUCGCCGAAGCUUAUCAGUCCGAAAGGACUGUUACUGUGAGAAAAUUAGAGUGUUUCAAGCAGGCUAUUGCAGGAAUACAUUAGCAUGGAAUAACGAAUGUGUCUAGAAUCUUGGUUAAUUCUAGAUUACGAUUAAUAGGGACAGUUGGGGGCAUUAGUAUUUAAUUGUCAGAGGUGAAAUUCUUGGAUUUGUUAAAGACUAACGUAUGCGAAAGCAUUUGCCAAGGAUGUUUUCAUUAAUCAAGAACGAAAGAUUGGGGAUCAAAGACGAUCAGAUACCGUC